Molecule: ribosomal RNA, 383 nt
Filed under: uncultured bacterium
Lineage: Bacteria
Description: bacterial SSU rRNA
Rfam family: Bacterial small subunit ribosomal RNA
Source: RNAcentral
AUUGAACGCUGGCGGCAUGCCUUACACAUGCAAGUCGAACGGCAGCACGGGAGCAAUCCUGGUGGCGAGUGGCGAACGGGUGAGUAAUGUAUCGGAACGUACCUUUCAGUGGGGGAUAACGUAGCGAAAGUUACGCUAAUACCGCAUAUUCUGUGAGCAGGAAAGCAGGGGAUCGCAAGACCUUGCGCUGAUUGAGCGGCCGAUAUCAGAUUAGCUAGUUGGUGAGGUAAAGGCUCACCAAGGCGACGAUCUGUAGCGGGUCUGAGAGGAUGAUCCGCUACGACUGGAACUGAGACACGGUCCAGACUCCUACGGGAGGCAGCAGUGGGGAAUUUUGGACAAUGGGCGCAAGCCUGAUCCAGCCAUGCCGCGUGAGUGAAGAA